GGGCCCGCACAAGCGGUGGAGCAUGUGGUUCAAUUCGAAGCAACGCGCAGAACCUUACCAGCCCUUGACAUCCCGGUCGCGGAGAGCAGAGACGCACUCCUUCAGUUCGGCUGGACCGGAGACAGGUGCUGCAUGGCUGUCGUCAGCUCGUGUCGUGAGAUGUUGGGUUAAGUCCCGCAACGAGCGCAACCCUCGCCCUUAGUUGCCAUCAUUUAGUUGGGCACUCUAAGGGGACUGCCGGUGAUAAGCCGGAGGAAGGUGGGGAUGACGUCAAGUCCUCAUGGCCCUUACGGGCUGGGCUACACACGUGCUACAAUGGCGGUGACAGAGGGAUGCAAAGGGGCGACCCUUCGCAAAUCUCAAAAAGCCGUCUCAGUUCGGAUUGGGGUCUGCAACUCGACCCCAUGAAGUUGGAAUCGCUAGUAAUCGCAGAUCAGCACGCUGCGGUGAAUACGUUCCCGGGCCUU
Molecule: ribosomal RNA, 467 nt
Filed under: uncultured bacterium
Lineage: Bacteria
Description: bacterial SSU rRNA
Rfam family: Bacterial small subunit ribosomal RNA
Source: RNAcentral